Molecule: long non-coding RNA, 150 nt
Organism: Lethenteron reissneri (Far Eastern brook lamprey)
Lineage: Eukaryota; Metazoa; Chordata; Hyperoartia; Petromyzontiformes; Petromyzontidae
Source: RefSeq, a predicted model, not a curated record
UUCUCAGUGGGUCUGUUGGGGUCCCGAUGUGAGGCUGUGGUUCUCUAUGUGCGUGACGUCAUUUAUGGACGGCUCCUUACAGCAGAAAGAACAAUCCUGGCAACAAAGGUCCUCCUCGGGGCCAGACGGAGGCGAGCCAUCGGCCCCUCG